UACAGAGGUCUCAAGCGUUGUUCGGAUUCAUUGGGCGUAAAGGGUGCGUAGGUGGCGCGCUAAGUCAGGUGUGAAAUUUCGGAGCUUAACUCCGAAACUGCAUUUGAUACUGGCGUGCUUGAGGACUGGAGAGGAGACUGGAAUUCAUGGUGUAGCAGUGAAAUGCGUAGAGAUCAUGAGGAAGACCAGUGGCGAAGGCGGGUCUCUGGACAGUUCCUGACGCUGAAGCACGAAGGCCAGGGGAGCAAACGGG
Molecule: ribosomal RNA, 253 nt
Filed under: uncultured bacterium
Lineage: Bacteria
Description: partial 16S ribosomal RNA
Rfam family: Bacterial small subunit ribosomal RNA
Source: RNAcentral